AGUAAAUAGAUACCCCGGUAGUCCACGCCGUAAACGAUGUCGACUUGGAGGUUGUGCCCUUGAGGCGUGGCUUCCGGAGCUAAACGCGUUAAAGUCGACCGCCUGGGGAGUACGGCCGCAAGGUUAAAACUCAAAUGAAUUGACGGGGGCCCGCACAAGCGGUGGAGCAUGUGGUUUAAUGCGAUGCAACGCGAAGAACCUUACCUACUCUUGACAUCCAGAGAACUUAGCAGAGAUGCUUUGGUGCCUUCGGGAACUCUGAGACAGGUGCUGCAUGGCUGUCGUCAGCUCGUGUUGUGAAAUGUUGGGUUAAGUCCCGCAACGAGCGCAACCCUUAUCCUUUGUUGCCAGCGGUUAGGCCGGGAACUCAAAGGAGACUGCCAGCGAUAAACUGGAGGAAGGUGGGGAUGACGUCAAGUCAUCAUGGCCCUUACGAGUAGGGCUACACACGUGCUACAAUGGCGCAUACAAAGAGAAGCGACCUCGCGAGAGCAAGCGGACCUCAUAAAGUGCGUCGUAGUCCGGAUUGGAGU
This 533-nucleotide ribosomal RNA is filed under the name uncultured bacterium. RNAcentral's name for it is "bacterial SSU rRNA". It matches the Rfam family "Bacterial small subunit ribosomal RNA", at positions 774 to 1304 of the family's 1533-position model. The record is from RNAcentral.